Molecule: ribosomal RNA, 490 nt
Filed under: uncultured bacterium
Lineage: Bacteria
Description: partial 16S ribosomal RNA
Rfam family: Bacterial small subunit ribosomal RNA
Source: RNAcentral
AUGAACGCUGGCUACAGGCUUAACACAUGCAAGUCGCGGGGAAACGACGGGGAAGCUUGCUUCCCCGGGCGUCGACCGGCGCACGGGUGAGUAACGCGUAUCCAACCUGCCUCUGACUGAGGGAUAACCCGUCGAAAGUCGGCCUAAUACCUCAUGGCAUCGUCUGCGGGCAUCCAACGACGAUUAAAGAUUUCAUCGGUCAGGGAUGGGGAUGCGUCUGAUUAGCUUGUUGGCGGGGUAACGGCCCACCAAGGCUACGAUCAGUAGGGGUUCUGAGAGGAAGGUCCCCCACAUUGGAACUGAGACACGGUCCAAACUCCUACGGGAGGCAGCAGUGAGGAAUAUUGGUCAAUGGGCGGGAGCCUGAACCAGCCAAGUAGCGUGCAGGAUGACGGCCCUAUGGGUUGUAAACUGCUUUUAGGCGGGGAUAAAGUGAGGGACGUGUCCUUCAUUGCAGGUACCGCAUGAAUAAGGACCGGCUAAUUCCGUG